This 235-nucleotide ribosomal RNA is filed under the name uncultured Lactobacillus sp. Its description in RNAcentral is "partial 16S ribosomal RNA". It matches the Rfam family "Bacterial small subunit ribosomal RNA", at positions 128 to 354 of the family's 1533-position model. The record is from RNAcentral. Lineage: Bacteria; Bacillati; Bacillota; Bacilli; Lactobacillales; Lactobacillaceae.
GCCCAAGAGAUCGGGAUAACACCUGGAAACAGAUGCUAAUACCGGAUAACAACAGAUGAUGCCUAUNCAACUGUUUAAAAGAUGGUUCUGCUAUCACUCUUGGAUGGACCUGCGGUGUAUUAGCUAGUUGGUAGGGUAACGGCCUACCAAGGCGAUGAUGCAUAGCCGAGUUGAGAGACUGAUCGGCCACAUUGGGACUGAGACACGGCCCAAACUCCUACGGGAGGCAGCAGGC